UGGGGUAUAGCCAAGUGGUAAGGCAGCGGGUUUUGAUCCCGCCAUUCGGUGGUUCAAGUCCAUCUACCCCAGCCA
This 75-nucleotide transfer RNA is filed under the name Paraglaciecola hydrolytica. RNAcentral describes it as "tRNA-Gln". It matches the Rfam family "tRNA". Rfam says of the family: Transfer RNA (tRNA) molecules are approximately 80 nucleotides in length. Their secondary structure includes four short double-helical elements and three loops (D, anti-codon, and T loops). Further hydrogen bonds mediate the characteristic L-shaped molecular structure. tRNAs have two regions of fundamental functional importance: the anti-codon, which is responsible for specific mRNA codon recognition, and the 3' end, to which the tRNAs corresponding amino acid is attached (by aminoacyl-tRNA synthetases). tRNAs cope with the degeneracy of the genetic code in two manners: having more than one tRNA (with a specific anti-codon) for a particular amino acid; and 'wobble' base-pairing, i.e. permitting non-standard base-pairing at the 3rd anti-codon position. RNAcentral also lists the same sequence under 3 other names. The record is from RNAcentral. Lineage: Bacteria; Pseudomonadati; Pseudomonadota; Gammaproteobacteria; Alteromonadales; Alteromonadaceae.